Molecule: ribosomal RNA, 639 nt
Filed under: uncultured bacterium
Lineage: Bacteria
Description: bacterial SSU rRNA
Rfam family: Bacterial small subunit ribosomal RNA
Source: RNAcentral
AUGCUUAACACAUGCAAGUCGAACGAGAAAGUGGAGCAAUCCAUGAGUAAAGUGGCGACCGGGUGAGUAACACGUGACUAACCUGCCUUCGAGUGGGGGAUAACCUCGGGAAACCGGGGCUAAUACCGCAUAAUGCCUUCGGGUUAAAGGAGCAAUUCGCUUGAAGAGGGGGUCGCGGCUGAUUAGCUAGUUGGCGGGGUAACGGCCCACCAAGGCGAUGAUCGGUAGCCGGCCUGAGAGGGCGCACGGCCACACUGGAACUGAAACACGGUCCAGACUCCUACGGGAGGCAGCAGUGGGGAAUUUUGCGCAAUGGGGGAAACCCUGACGCAGCAACGCCGCGUGGAGGAUGAAGCCCUUUGGGGCGUAAACUCCUUUCGACCAAGACGAUAAUGACGGUACUGGUGGAAGAAGCACCGGCUAACUCUGUGCCAGCAGCCGCGGUAAUACAGAGGGUGCGAGCGUUGUUCGGAAUUAUUGGGCGUAAAGGGCGCGUAGGCGGCGCGGUAAGUCACCUGUGAAAUCUCCCGGCUUAACUGGGAGCCUGCAGGCGAAACUACCGUGCUGGAGUAUGGGAGAGGUGCGUGGAAUUCCCGGUGUAGCGGUGAAAUGCGUAGAUAUCGGAAGGAACACCAGUGG